GGUGCACCGGCCAAACCCACAACGGAAUCCUAGGAGUCUGCCGCUCCCAUGACCCUGCCCAGGUACAUAUAAGAUGGCCCCUGCGCCCUCCCAUAAGCCAUCGGCGAGUAGAAGCACCAGUGAGCGUCGAUUGCUCGGAUUUAGGUGGGGGAUCAGGGGUGUUCAUCGGAGUACAUUGUACUUGGGGCUAGUUUUUUUCAAGCGUCUGGAACAAGCAGUGAAGGCCCGAUGUUUGGUUUGGGAAGGCCCCCUUCCGUGACAAUGGAAUUAGUGCAUGCUACUAGCGUUCGUCUGGAGUCCCAUAUACAAUGGUGGGUUCUGGAAACUGAGGUAAAUCUUUGACUGACCUAGUUUCUAAUUCCAAAUUUUGUGCUCCCACCGCUUCUUGAUCCGUCGGGUGCCAAGGGCCUCUGUUGCGGCAAGUCGGCUGCAGUCCGGGAGCCGGCGGUAGCAGAGGUGAACAACAAAGCUGGGCGUUGGCCUGCCAGCGUCGCCGGUGAGGGUGUCUCAGACGCCCAAGCAGCCCAUGUUGCCCUUCUACUUACCGAGCCGCCCUCACCCUCCAGCUACAAGAGCUCGCCGCCGUACAAACUAAAGGCCGCCGCCGCUCUGUAAUUUAUGGGGAAGAAACGACUCCGUCCAUUGAUCUGGGAGGGACGAUGGGGAUUAGAUCCUAACGUUUUAAAAUCAUGAGCGUCCGAUUCUAAUCGAACGGUUGGGGGAAGUAGCUGAUACCCCUUCGCGGCUCAUGAUCUGGGUCAUCGGAUCUUGAUCCGGUGGUCUAUAUUUCAUACCAGUUCAUAAAGGUUAAAAUCUAAUCGCGACCAUUGGCUUUUGAUCGGACGACCGAGGAUCGCGGAUACCCCUUCAGCCGAGCCAGAUUUACAAAUGAGCCCCCGCAGAAUCUCAUAAUUAACCCUUCAUCCUCGCGGGAGUAGUCUGAGUCUGGUAGAGUUUUAUAAAUUUAACCCUAGGCUCUCUGAUAUUAGUGUCCUCGGUCCAGAACACUUAGGAUAUUCAGAAAUUAAUAAAGAAAUAGGUUUUUAGUAUAAAAAUAAAUCCAUAAACUUGUUUAAUUCAUAUUUAAUUCAUUCUAACUCCGAAUUAACCUAUUCCAGUUUCUAUAAUUUUGUAAUAUAAUUGUUUAUCAUUUUGUGUCACUGUUUUGACAUGAAAGCCAUAUUAAAAUUGAUAUCCUAAUUAAUCUUGUACAAAGCACAUAGAAUCUUUAGAAAUCCAUAACUUAAAAUCUAUAACUCCAAAAUUAAUAAUUCAUGUUCAUGUUAUCUUAUUUCAAUAUGUAGAUUAUUAAUAUGUAUUUUGCAUAUAUGUUUGGUGUAAUGUUAAUUUUUCCUAUACAUUGUUUGUCUAUAUUGCUACGUUUAGCAGUGAGGACACGUGUCAUCUGAAAAGCAAGUUGGUACCUGAAAUCUCAAGUCCCAGGCAAGUUGUGCCCUUGACCACUUCUUUUUACCCACUCAUGUUCUAAUUAAUCAUAAUGAUCUGCAUAGGUUAAUUUUGAUGGGACCCAAUAGGUUACCCCAGUUUGACUAUCUUUAUGCCUUGUUUACCACUGAACUUUUGGGUAGUACUUGCUAGUGCUUUAUGUGGAUUUGGGCAUUGAGAUAUUCAUGAUUAUACUUUUAUUAUCAGUUGUUAUUUACUAUUCAUGAUAAGAUCAUUAUGUUAAUUGGAACAUGGAGAACCACCCGGGAAAACAGUGCUACCACAAGGGUUUAAUGGGACGCCCUUGGCUGAUUAAUUAGGAAAGCUAGUGGAUGACUACCUUACCCGAAAGGGGCAAGGGCAGUAGGGGAGUGGUCAGUGUAGGGAGGCCCUUGGGAUGAUUUUGCUGCGAUGGCGGUCAUGCGAGGGAUUCCUGCAUUGGAGCUUCCUAUAAACUGUAGCGGGUUUUCUGAAGCUAGUGGAACUUUGUAAAGGCCUCGUAGUGUUACCCUGCCUCGCCUCCUCGGUAGAGGUGUAUGGGAUUGGCCGUCUCUUGGCAGAUGGGUAACAUGACUUGUGGGUAAAGAUGCGCAACCUCUGCAGAGUGUAAAACUGGUAUACUAGCCGUGCUCACGGUCAAGAGCAGCUCGGACACUCACAUGAUUAAUCUAUGGAACUAAAUUCAAUUUGUCAUAUGCAUUGCAUCGCAGGUGAUGUUGUUAUUUUUGUUCUACUACUUAAUUGGGUUUGAUAUUUACUUAUACUUAGUAAUUGCUAAUAAAAUUUUGACCAACUUUAAAAGCAAUGCUCAGCUCUAACCAUCCUCUUUGGUAAGCCUUACACUUCACGUGAGCUCCCACCUUUGGCGAGUUCAUGCACAUUAUUCCCCACAACUUGUUGAGCGAUGAACGUAUGUGAGCUCACUCUUGCUGUCUCACACCCCCCCACAGGUCAAGAACAGGUACCGCAGGAUGAGGCGCAUGAAGGAUGCGGCUAUGUGUUCGUGAGAGGUCUAGGUCGCCGUCUCCCAGUCAACUUUGGGUUGCUGGACCGUUGUCUCCUUAUAAUGUAAUUAUUUAUUUUGUGCAAAAUUCCUGUUAUGUAGUAAAGAUGUGACAUUCGAUCCUGUGCCAUGAUUCAUCAUAUGUGUGAGACUUGGUCCCAGCACACCUGGUGAUUAUGUUCGCGCCCGGGUCUUGGUGCCCCGAAACCCGGGUGUGACAGAAGUGGUAUCAGAGGAAUGUUGACUGUAGGACGAAACCUAGAUAGAACUGGACAACCCUUACCUACUUACCUAUGCUACUCUGAUUCUUUUCUAAACUUAUCUUAAUAUUUUCUCAUCUAUUUCUGACUUACUCUGAUAAUUCCUACCUUUUCACUCUAAAGACCAAUGUGGAUUUCACAUUUUGAAAUCUUGUGCCUAAAGUGACCUUUAGGAAUAGGAGACCUACUCUUAGGAACAAAAUCAAAACUACUUUUAUUGUGAUUAUUCUGUAUGCUUAAAUGUUUGUUCUUGUGAUACAUGUCUAAUUUGGAUCUUUGAUUGAGUGCGAUGAGUUGUGGAGUAAUGUCCACAAUUAACAUGUGCAUAUACAUAUAGGCAUAAAUAUAAAUAAAUGAAAUUCAUAAGAUAACUAAACAACCUAGAUUAUCCAUUGGAAUAUAUCUAGCUUAAUAGAUCCAUCUUAUCUUAAAAGACUCUCUCUUAUUCCAAUAGAUUCAUCUUAUCAUGAAAGAUUUGUUUUAUCUUAACCACUAUAUUUAUCUCAUCCUAAAGUAACAACCAUGACCUAAUCCAAAAUAAUGAGAUCUUAACUAGUUUAAUCAAGUUGUACCAACCUAAUCUAGAUUCUAUCUAAUCUAUUAUGAUCUAAUCUAGAGUAAGUUACUUAAUAUUGGUACAAAGGAUAAAGCCAUACUCCAAAUCCACUUAAGCUUAAACUGGUGACCUAGAUCAACUCGGCCAUACCCAACAACUUGACCUACAUAACAGAUCUAUCUUAGCCUCUUGUCCCAAACCCGGAUGGAGACACCAGAGAGCAAGACUGGAAAAGGACAAGAUCAACCUUGUCAAGGAAGGAGAGAAGUCAAACUCGAUCUUCAGAUGCAUUACCACCCAACAAGGAGUCCUUUCUCACCGUAAACUUUCUUACUUAGGCUAUUCUUGCCCUAACCUAUCCAUCUCUUAUAUCAUGCAUAAUAAGUAGCUGGAUACCUAUGCUCUCUCAAUCACUCACCCACCAUUGACUACAUAAAAAAAACAAGACCCUGGAUUUUUAAACCAAUUAUAGACUAAAAGCCGAAUUACAGAAAUGCUUCUGUAUCCCUUUCUUGCAAAUCUCGAGGACGAGAUUUCUGUUAAGGGGGGUAGGAUUUGUAACGACCAAAAUCCUAUUCUAAGAUUUACAAAUAUUUUUUAUAAGGUUUAGGGUUAAAAGGUAUUUUAAUAUAAGAAUCCUCAUUUUUAAAUGUUAUUCUAAAAAAACUAAAAGCUUGGAACCAUAAACACAAGAAUGUUAUUUAUUUAUUAUUCUCUUUAUGAACUACAUAUACAAAUGCACUCCUUCAAAAAAUAAUAACUUAUGGGAAAAAUAUUGUGUGGGUUGCAUAAUUGGAUCAUUUUUUUAUUUUUUUAUUUGCAUGAAUAAAUGAAUAAAUUAAUUAUUAUAAAUUAUACCUGCAUCAUGUUGGGUUUGUUUGUGCAUUUAUUUUGAAUUUUAAAACUAAGAACUGAUUUGAAUUUGGAAUUGAAAUAAAAAAAACAGAAUAAAAAGCAAAAGAAAUAGAUUGCUUACCUGAGAAAUGGGCCGAAUUUCCCCUCCCUUAGCCCAGUCUGGUGCCCUCUCAGACUACCACGCGCUUGCUGGCGAGUCUCUGACAUCGUGGGCCAACCCGUCAGCGUUGUCUUCCCCGAGUAGGACUCCAACAGACCGCGUGAUUCCAGGCAACAAAAACAUACCCGACGCCGCUGCUAUCCCAUAAUAUUCGGGGGGGUGCACCGGCCAAACCCACAACGGAAUCCUAGGAGUCUGCCGCUCCCAUGACCCUGCCCAGGUACAUAUAAGAUGGCCCCUGCGCCCUCCCAUAAGCCAUCGGCGAGUAGAAGCACCAGUGAGCGUCGAUUGCUCGGAUUUAGGUGGGGGAUCAGGGGUGUUCAUCGGAGUACAUUGUACUUGGGGCUAGUUUUUUUCAAGCGUCUGGAACAAGCAGUGAAGGCCCGAUGUUUGGUUUGGGAAGGCCCCCUUCCGUGACAAUGGAAUUAGUGCAUGCUACUAGCGUUCGUCUGGAGUCCCUUAUACAAUGGUGGGUUCUGGAAACUGAGGUAAAUCUUUGACUGGCCUAGUUUCUGAUUCCAAAUUUUGUGCUCCCACCGCUUCUUGAUCCGUCGGGUGCCAAGGGCCUCUGUUGCGGCAAGUCGGCUGCAGUCCGGGAGCCGGCGGUAGCAGAGGUGAACAACAAAGCUGGGCGUUGGCCUGCCAGCGUCGCCGGUGAGGGUGUCUCAGACGCCCAAGCAGCCCAUGUUGCCCUUCUACUUACCGAGCCGCCCUCACCCUCCAGCUACAAGGGCUCGCCGCCGUACAAACUAAAGGCCGCCGCCGCUCUGUAAUUUAUGGGGAAGAAACGACUCCGUCCAUUGAUCUGGGAGGGACGAUGGGGAUUAGAUCCUAACGUUUUAAAAUCAUGAGCGUCCGAUUCUAAUCGAACGGUUGGGGGAAGUAGCUGAUACCCCUUCGCGGCUCAUGAUCUGGGUCAUCGGAUCUUGAUCCGGUGGUCUAUAUUUCAUACCGGUUCAUAAAGGUUAAAAUCUAAUCGCGACCAUUGGCUUUUGAUCGGGCGACCGAGGAUCGCGGAUACCCCUUCAGCCGAGCCAGAUUUACAAAUGAGCCCCCGCAGAAUCUCAUAAUUAACCCUCCAUCCUCGCGGGAGUAGUCUGAGUCUGGUAGAGUUUUAUAAAUUUAACCCUAGGCUCUCUGAUAUUAGUGUCCUCGGUCCAGAACACUUAGGAUAUUCAGAAAUUAAUAAAGAAAUAGGUUUUUAGUAUAAAAAUAAAUCCAUAAACUUGUUUAAUUCAUAUUUAAUUCAUUCUAACUCCGAAUUAACCCAUUCCAGUUUCUAUAAUUUUGUAAUAUAAUUGUUUAUCAUUUUGUGUCACUGUUUUGACAUGAAAGCCAUAUUAAAAUUGAUAUCCUAAUUAAUCUUGUACAAAGCACAUAGAAUCUUUAGAAAUCCAUAACUUAAAAUCUAUAACUCCAAAAUUAAUAAUUCAUGUUCCUGUUAUCUUAUUUCAAUAUGUAGAUUAUUAAUAUGUAUUUUGCAUAUAUGUUUGGUGUAAUGUUAAUUUUGCCUAUACACUAUUUGUCUAUAUUGCUACGUUUAGCAGUGAGGACACGUGUCAUCUGAAAAGCAAGUUGGUACCUGGAAUCUCAAGUCCCAGGCAAGUUGUGCCCUUGACCACUUCUUUUUACCCACUCAUGUUCUAAUUAAUCAUAAUGAUCUGCAUAGGUUAAUUUUGAUGGGACCCAAUAGGUUACCCCAGUUUGACUAUCUUUAUGCCUUGUUUACCACUGAACUUUUGGGUAGUACUUGCUAGUGCUUUAUGUGGAUUUGGGCAUUGAGAUAUUCAUGAUUAUACUUUUAUUAUCAGUUGUUAUUUACUAUUCAUGAUAAGAUCAUUAUGUUAAUUGGAACAUGGAGAACCACCCGGGAAAACAGUGCUACCACAAGGGUUUAAUGGGACGCCCUUGGCUGAUUAAUUAGGAAAGCUAGUGGAUGACUACCUUACCCGAAAGGGGCAAGGGCAGUAGAGGAGUGGUCAGUGUAGGGAGGCCCUUGGGAUGAUUUUGCUGUGAUGGCGGUCAUGCGAGGGAUUCUUGCAUUGGAGCUUCCUAUAAACUGUAGUGGGUUUUCUGAAGCUAGUGGAACUUUGUAAAGGCCUCGUAGUGUUACCCUGCCUCGCCUCCUCGGUAGAGGUGUAUGGGAUUGUCCGUCUCUUGGCAGAUGGGUAACAUGACUUGUGGGUAAAGAUGUGCAACCUCUACAGAGUGUAAAACUGGUAUACUAGCCGUGCUCACGGUCAAGAGCAGCUCGGACACUCACAUGAUUAAUCUAUGGAACUAAAUUCAAUUUGUCAUAUGCAUUGCAUCGCAGGUGAUGUUGUUAUUUUUGUUCUACUACUUAAUUGGGUUUGAUAUUUACUUAUACUUAGUAAUUGCUAAUAAAAUUUUGACCAACUUUAAAAGCAAUGCUCAGCUCUAACCAUCCUCUUUGGUAAGCCUUACACUUCACGUGAGCUCCCACCUUUGGCGAGUUCAUGCACAUUAUUCCCCACAACUUGUUGAGCGAUGAAUGUAUGUGAGCUCACUCUUGCUGUCUCACACCCCCCCCACAGGUCAAGAACAGGUACCGCAGGAUGAGGCGCUUGAAGGAUGUGGCUAUGUGUUCGUGAGAGGUCUAGGUCGCCGUCUCCCAGUCAACUUUGGGUUGCUGGACCGUUGUCUCCUUAUAAUGUAAUUAUUUAUUUUGUGCAAAGUUCCUGUUAUGUAGUAAAGAUGUGACAUUCGAUCCUGUGCCAUGAUUCAUCAUAUGUGUGAGACUUGGUCCCAGCACACCUAGUGAUUAUGUUCGCCCCCGGGUCUUGGUGCCCCGAAACCCGGGUGUGAUAGUAUGUUGUCCUAGGAAGCCUCAAAAGGGUAUGUUGUCCUAGGAAGCAUCAAUAGGGUAUGUUAUCUUAGGGUAUUUACAUUUUUAGGACUCGAGAAGACAGUCCUAGGGUAUGUUGUCCUAGGAAGCCUCAAAAGGGUAAGACUUACAAAGAUGGUAGUUUAGGCUAUUGCUAUGGAGUUAUUCUUAAAAAUGUAAAUAGCUAGGCUAGUUUAAAUAUGCUUCAUGCAAAUAAGCGUGCAAGCCUCAUCCUGAGCAGCUUCAACUAUGUUCUUAGGAUGGCAAGCUAGUACAGGCCUUACUAAGAGGCCUUCACAACUAGCAUGCAAGAUGAUGAAUACCUAACACACAUGCUAUUAAGGGUAUAAUGAGUGUAUUGUUGUAUUCCCCUCUAUAAGGAAAAUGGACCGCGACCCAUUUGCUUAAGUGAUUUUGGUGUUUGAUGAGUGAUGACCAACAUGACUUGUGGACUAAUGUGUUUGUUAGUGUUUAUGUUUAUAGUUCAUAGGAUGAAACAUGGACUUAAGGAAUUGAGGGAGCAACACCUCAAGGAAGACAUUAGCAGACUCAUUGAAGACUUACCAACAUCAAGCAAAGUCCAAGACACAAGACAAGAAAAGCCCAAGUGAAAACAACUUGAAGAAUAGAAGAUUGGGUUGUUUAUGAGUGCACCAGACCGUCUAGAGGUUCACCAGAAUGAGACACUAAACCAAACACUCAUAGAGCAUGUAAACAACACCCAAGCCUUCUCACACACUGUUGGUACACCGGACCUUAUAGGCUCAAUGAUUGGCAAUAGCUAGUUGCAACGGACAACUGACAUGGCAGGCACUAGACUGUCUGAUGUGCGCUAUUGGCACAUUAGACCUCUAGUGUACAGAUGAAAAGUUGUCAUAUUUCCAAUGGUUAGCUAAAGUGGAAGGGCACCAGACGGGUUUGUUGUGACUCAUAAAAGUUUGCUUCCUUCCAAUGACUCUUUUGGGCUUGGGACUCAAUAUAAAUCCACUCAACCGAGCAUUCCAAGAUCCAAAGAGCUCAAGACUUUAGUGUAUGUGUUGAGACCUACAUUUCUAAUAGCUCCAAACACCCAAGUGCUUAAAGAAUCACUCGGUGGUUAGCGUAGGUGCUUUGAAAAGUGCUUAGGAUAUUUAUACAGUUUCAUUGUGCUUGCUCUAGGUUAUGCUUAGUUGAUUAGAGUGAGGUUAGACACCCUCAAGACACUUGGCUCUUGCGUGAGUCAUUGUAAUUGUAUCGAGUGGGGUGAGAGUCUUGUGAGAUCACACCAACUGCGUUUGUGGUCUGGCCGCCACCGUGUACCAGAGGGAACGAGUCCCAUGGCGUUUCGGCUAGAAGCUCGAUAGUGAAGACAACGGGGAGCAUCCAAGAGAGGUCUGAAGUGGAGCACCACUUGUACGUGGAGAAGGCCUGGGCUAUCUAUGAGUUACAUGUCUGAGAUGCUUGGCACCAACAAGGAUUAGUAAGAACCAUGCACGGUUCUUAAUACCUUUGUAAAAAUAUCAACGCGUCAAUGGGAGUUUGCAUCUCUACCUUACUUAACCUUCCAUAUUUAUAUUCCUUCCUUAAGUUGUG
This 8697-nucleotide long non-coding RNA is filed under the name Zea mays. RNAcentral describes it as "long non-coding RNA (ZMAY_LNC000856)". Lineage: Eukaryota; Viridiplantae; Streptophyta; Magnoliopsida; Poales; Poaceae. The record is from RNAcentral.